Long non-coding RNA from Talpa occidentalis (Iberian mole), 270 nucleotides. RefSeq lists it as uncharacterized. The record is from RefSeq and is a predicted model, not a curated record. Lineage: Eukaryota; Metazoa; Chordata; Mammalia; Eulipotyphla; Talpidae. The transcript is spliced from 3 exons.
CUGGACAUGGCCAAGGCCAGUUUCAUAGCAUCCUCCAACAUUAAAAAAAAAAAAAAAAACUGUGACACCGUGGGUUUAAAAUCUAGCCUACAUUAUCUUUAAUAACAAACCAGCUUCAAAAUAUCAAGCAGCCAAGAAUGUUGAGACAAACAGAGACCAUGGAGGAUAAAAGUGUUUCUAACUUUAAAAUGAUUCCCUCUGUUCUAUGGACCUGGAAGAAACUGACUUAAACAAGCUUAAAGUUUUAGGAAAAGGAAGGGUAUGCCUAAG